Molecule: ribosomal RNA, 481 nt
Filed under: uncultured bacterium
Lineage: Bacteria
Description: partial 16S ribosomal RNA
Rfam family: Bacterial small subunit ribosomal RNA
Source: RNAcentral
GACGAACGCUGGCGGCGUGCUUAACACAUGCAAGUCGAACGAUGAAGGAGAGCUUGCUCUCCGGAUUAGUGGCGAACGGGUGAGUAACACGUGACUAACCUGCCCCUUUCUCUGGGAUAACGCUCCGAAAGGAGUGCUAAUACCGGAUACGAACUCUGAACACAUGUUCGGAGUUGGAAAGUUUUUCGGAAAGGGAUGGAGUCGCGGCCUAUCAGCUUGUUGGUGAGGGAAUGGCUCACCAAGGCGACGACGGGUAGCCGGCCUGAGAGGGCGACAGGCCACACUGGGACGGAGACACGGCCCAGACUCCUACGGGAGGCAGCAGUGGGGAAUAUUGCACAAUGGGCGAAAGCCUGAUGCAGCGACGACGCGUGAGGGAUGAAGGUCUUCGGAUUGUAAACCUCUUUCAGUAGGGACGAAGCGAAAGUGACGGUACCUAAAGAAGAAGCACCGGCUAACUACGUGCCAGCCGCCGCCGUAA